RNAcentral lists this transfer RNA (62 nucleotides) under uncultured Corynebacterium sp. It matches the Rfam family "tRNA", at positions 7 to 64 of the family's 71-position model. From Rfam's summary of the family: Transfer RNA (tRNA) molecules are approximately 80 nucleotides in length. Their secondary structure includes four short double-helical elements and three loops (D, anti-codon, and T loops). Further hydrogen bonds mediate the characteristic L-shaped molecular structure. tRNAs have two regions of fundamental functional importance: the anti-codon, which is responsible for specific mRNA codon recognition, and the 3' end, to which the tRNAs corresponding amino acid is attached (by aminoacyl-tRNA synthetases). tRNAs cope with the degeneracy of the genetic code in two manners: having more than one tRNA (with a specific anti-codon) for a particular amino acid; and 'wobble' base-pairing, i.e. permitting non-standard base-pairing at the 3rd anti-codon position. The record is from RNAcentral. Lineage: Bacteria; Bacillati; Actinomycetota; Actinomycetes; Mycobacteriales; Corynebacteriaceae.
CAUUAGCUCAAUUGGUAGAGCAUCUGACUCUUAAUCAGAGGGUUCGGGGUUCGAUUCCCUGA